RNAcentral lists this ribosomal RNA (301 nucleotides) under uncultured bacterium. RNAcentral's name for it is "partial 16S ribosomal RNA". It matches the Rfam family "Bacterial small subunit ribosomal RNA", at positions 509 to 807 of the family's 1533-position model. The record is from RNAcentral.
CAGUAGCCGCGGUAACACGUAGGUGGCAAGCGUUGUCCGGAAUUAUUGGGCGUAAAGGGCUCGCAGGCGGUUUCUUAAGUCUGAUGUGAAAGCCCCCGGCUCAACCGGGGAGGGUCAUUGGAAACUGGGAAACUUGAGUGCAGAAGAGGAGAGUGGAAUUCCACGUGUAGCGGCGAAAUGCGUAGAGAUGUGGAGGAACACCAGUGGCGAAGGCGACUCUCUGGUCUGUAACUGACGCUGAGGAGCGAAAGCGUGGGGAGCGAACAGGAUUAGAUACCCCAGUAGUCCCUGUCUCUUAUAC